GCACUCGUAGCUCAGCUGGAUAGAGUACUCGGCUACGAACCGAGCGGUCACAGGUUCAAAUCCUGUCGAGUGCACCA
RNAcentral lists this transfer RNA (77 nucleotides) under Pseudomonas amygdali pv. ulmi. Its description in RNAcentral is "tRNA-Arg". It matches the Rfam family "tRNA". From Rfam's summary of the family: Transfer RNA (tRNA) molecules are approximately 80 nucleotides in length. Lineage: Bacteria; Pseudomonadati; Pseudomonadota; Gammaproteobacteria; Pseudomonadales; Pseudomonadaceae. The record is from RNAcentral.